Molecule: ribosomal RNA, 123 nt
Filed under: Chinchilla lanigera (long-tailed chinchilla)
Lineage: Eukaryota; Metazoa; Chordata; Mammalia; Rodentia; Chinchillidae
Source: RNAcentral
UCUAUGGCCAUACCACCCUGAAAGCACCUGAUCUUGUCUGAUCUCAGAAGCUAAGCAGGGCUGGCCCAGUUAGUACUUGGAUGGGAAAAGAUGGAAAACUAAGAGAAUUUGCUGCCAGCAGAU